This 474-nucleotide ribosomal RNA is filed under the name uncultured bacterium. RNAcentral describes it as "bacterial SSU rRNA". It matches the Rfam family "Bacterial small subunit ribosomal RNA", at positions 17 to 518 of the family's 1533-position model. The record is from RNAcentral.
UUCUGGCUCAGGAUUAACGCUGGCGGCGUGCCUAACACAUGCAAGUCGAACGAGGUAGCAAUACCUAGUGGCAGACGGGUGAGUAACACGUGGUCAACCUACCCUUAGGUGGGGGAUAACUGGCCGAAAGGUCAGCUAAUACCGCAUGAAACGUGCCGGGGCAUCCCGGAACGUUAAAAGCAGCAAUGCGCCAAAGGACGGGACCGCGUCCGAUUAGCUUGUUGGUGGGGUAAUGGCCUACCAAGGCUCCGAUCGGUAGCUGGUUUGAGAGAGCGACCAGCCACACUGGGACUGAGAAACGGCCCAGACUCCUACGGGAGGCAGCAGUGAGGAAUUUUCCGCAAUGGGCGAAAGCCCUGACGGAGCGACGCCGCGUGUGGGAUGAAGGCCCUCGGGUCGUAAACCACUGUCGAAGGGGACUAUACUGAAGGUACCCUUGGAGGAAGCCCCGGCUAACUACGUGCCAGCAGCUGC